RNAcentral lists this transfer RNA (71 nucleotides) under Klebsiella pneumoniae. RNAcentral describes it as "tRNA-Val". It matches the Rfam family "tRNA". Rfam says of the family: Transfer RNA (tRNA) molecules are approximately 80 nucleotides in length. Lineage: Bacteria; Pseudomonadati; Pseudomonadota; Gammaproteobacteria; Enterobacterales; Enterobacteriaceae. RNAcentral also lists the same sequence under 1 other name. The record is from RNAcentral.
GUGAUUAGCUCAGCUGGGAGAGCACCUCCCUUACAAGGAGGGGGUCGGCGGUUCGAUCCCGUCAUCACCCA